CUUUUAAAAAAAGACUGUUAUUCCCCUUAACAGCUUUAAUUAGCAUAUGUGUGGCAAGGCUUUUAUAGCGAACCUGCCACCAUGAUAUCGCCGCCUUGGAUUCUGAAGUGUCUCCAGGUCCUGACAGACUGCGGACCCAAGGCUGAAAGAGAAUGGAGACGCCUGCCACUCUCGCCCAGCGCAACCAUACAGCACCAGUGCCCACAGAGUCACCUAGCAAUGGUCUUCGGAGGAGCUGCUCACCCCUCAGAAUAAGAGCUUGAUGGGAGAUGAUGCUUGAGGGUAGAGCCAAACAUCACCAAGAGCUUCUCUCAAGGAAUGAUCCCCAUGUCCCUGUAGCUUGGGAGUAGCCUGGACAUCUCAGCUAAUUGCUCCACUGCAAAAGAAGCUCUGAUGCUUGUCUGGCCUGUGCUCACAUUCAGUAGGUGUUGCAUGCAUGGACGAAUACAGUACGUCUCUAGUUCCUCUUUACCAGUCUCUUCCCAAGAAUAUCCCAAUUUGGUCCACUCUACUUUUGCUAUGCAUUCCAUAUUGAGCUUUCAGAAGAGCACACUUUCUCAGAAUUCCAGCUGGGGCUCAAUAAGAAGCAUGAUUGUUUUAGCAGACUCAUUGUGGAGUUACUACUGUACAGUGCAUAUAAUUUCCUUUAGCAAGCAGGUUGGGUACAAACAGCAUCAUUUUAUGGUCUCAUAGGCUUUGUGUAGAUACUGUUAGUGCUCUGACUGCUUUGAAAAGUUCCUGAGCUCCUUUUUCCCUCAGAGAAUCCCCCACCUCAACUUCUCUGCUGGUAGUCCUCAUACAAACCCCUGUCUCUUGUAUUGCCUCUGCAGCACAGGGGCACUACAAUAUUUUCAUUGAAUGCGAGUUCUGUUUUUUACUGUUCCAACACUGAAAUUCCAAAACAUAUUGACUGCAAAACUUACUUUACAUUAAAAGACAUACAGUACAGCUUAGGAUUUCCUUGCAAGUUUCAACAAUAAUGUCCACAUUUAACCCCCUGUACAGAAUUUAUAUGCAAUAUAUCUAAAUAUGUUUUAUCAACAUGCACAUACUGUACACUCAUACUGUAUAUACACUCACCAAUGGUUGUUCUUAAAGAUUCA
Molecule: long non-coding RNA, 1103 nt
Organism: Lepisosteus oculatus (spotted gar)
Lineage: Eukaryota; Metazoa; Chordata; Actinopteri; Semionotiformes; Lepisosteidae
Source: RefSeq, a predicted model, not a curated record